Molecule: ribosomal RNA, 497 nt
Filed under: uncultured bacterium
Lineage: Bacteria
Description: partial 16S ribosomal RNA
Rfam family: Bacterial small subunit ribosomal RNA
Source: RNAcentral
GAUGAACGCUGGCGGCGUGCCUAAUACAUGCAAGUCGAGCGAACAGACGAGGAGCUUGCUCCUCUGACGUUAGCGGCGGACGGGUGAGUAACACGUGGAUAACCUAUCUAUAAGACUGGGAUAACUUCGGGAAACCGGAGCUAAUACCGGAUAAUAUAUUGAACCGCAUGGUUCAAUAGUGAAAGACGGUUUUGAUGUCACUUAUAGAUGGAUCCGCGCCGCAUUAGCUAGUUGGUAAGGUAACGGCUUACCAAGGCAACGAUGCGUAGCCGACCUGAGAGGGUGAUCGGCCACACUGGAACUGAGACACGGUCCAGACUCCUACGGGAGGCAGCAGUAGGGAAUCUUCCGCAAUGGGCGAAAGCCUGACGGAGCAACGCCGCGUGAGUGAUGAAGGUCUUCGGAUCGUAAAACUCUGUUAUUAGGGAAGAACAAAUGUGUAAGUAACUAUGCACGUCUUGACGGUACCUAAUCAGAAAGCCACGGCUAACUACGUG